CCUACGGGAUGCAGCAGUGAGGAAUAUUGGUCAAUGGGCGGGAGCCUGAACCCGCCAAGCCGCGUGAGGGAAGAAGGUACAGCGUAUCGUAAACCUCUUUUGUCAGGAAACAAAGGCGGGGACUAGUCCCCGGAUGAGGGUACCUGAAGAAAAAGCAUCGGCUAACUCCGGGCCAGCAGCCGCGGUAAUACGGAGGAAGUUAGCGUUAUCCGGAUUUAUUGGGUUUAAAGGGUGCGCAGGCGGCCUGUUAAGUCAGCGGGAAAAGCCCGGGGCUCAACCCCGGCGAGCCGUUGAAACUGGCGGGCUGGAGUUGGAGAGAAGUACGCGGAAUGCGCGGUGUAGCGGUGAAAUGCUUAGAUAUCGCGCAGAACCCCGAUUGCGAAGGCAGCGGACCGGCUCCACACUGACGCUGAGGCACGAAAGCGUGGGUAUCGAACAGGAUUAGAUACCCUUGUAGUC
RNAcentral lists this ribosomal RNA (459 nucleotides) under uncultured bacterium. Its description in RNAcentral is "partial 16S ribosomal RNA". It matches the Rfam family "Bacterial small subunit ribosomal RNA", at positions 338 to 795 of the family's 1533-position model. The record is from RNAcentral.